UACGGAGGGGGCUAGCGUUGUUCGGAAUUACUGGGCGUAAAGGGCGCGUAGGCGGCCUGCUAAGUCGAACGUGAAAUCCCCGGGCUCAACCCGGGAACUGCGUCCGAUACUGGUAGGCUUGAAUUCGGGAGAGGGAUGCGGAAUUCCAGGUGUAGCGGUGAAAUGCGUAGAUAUCUGGAGGAACACCGGUGGCGAAGGCGGCAUCCUGGACCGACAUUGACGCUGAGGCGCGAAAGCCAGGGGAGCAAACGGG
RNAcentral lists this ribosomal RNA (253 nucleotides) under uncultured bacterium. RNAcentral's name for it is "partial 16S ribosomal RNA". It matches the Rfam family "Bacterial small subunit ribosomal RNA", at positions 524 to 776 of the family's 1533-position model. The record is from RNAcentral.